GUGGGUGGAAGCUCAUCGUGGAGGUCACAUGCAGAGUGCUAGUCACUUAACCAAUCACCUUCCUCUUUAAAGCUAGUUCUAUCAACACAGUAAAUGCAGUAUAUCUUUCUCCUUUGUUUUUUUUUUAGCUGGUAUUAUCGUGGCCAUGGUGUUUGAAAGUCUCUUGCCAC
RNAcentral lists this long non-coding RNA (170 nucleotides) under Salmo salar (Atlantic salmon). RNAcentral describes it as "Nuclear RNase P (ENSSSAG00000082586.1, ENSSSAG00075034586.1)". Lineage: Eukaryota; Metazoa; Chordata; Actinopteri; Salmoniformes; Salmonidae. The record is from RNAcentral.